Homo sapiens (human) is the source of this 1757-nucleotide long non-coding RNA. The record is from Ensembl. Lineage: Eukaryota; Metazoa; Chordata; Mammalia; Primates; Hominidae.
GACACGUACAGCUUAGAGCCUAGUCAUGAAAUGGGAAAUAAACAGCCCCAUCCUCAAGGUCUGAACAGGGGAUUGGGGAGCACAGAGAAGGGCCCCACCCCGACCAGCUGUCAAGAGAACUAUCCAUACAUUCUAAUUCCUCCAAGGUUGAGGGCUAAGGUGUAGGAAGAGGAGAGAGGUUCCAAGCAGAAGGAAUUGCAGAAGCAAAGGCACAGAGGCAUCCGGGACCUGCGAGCAGCUAUGGCUGGAGCCGCGUGUCGCAGGAUGGAGAGCGUGUGAACAGAGGGGACUGGAAGCGGAUCCUCCCAGGAAGCAGUUGCAGGCGGUCAUGCUACAUUUGCAGGGAGACGGGAGGUUGUGAAGAACAAUAACCAGAAGAGAGUUUGCGUCUUCAUCAGAAAGCACCUGGGGCAGGUAGAGUUGGUGCUAGCUUCUCCAUCCAUCCCUGACACCCCAGCCCCAUUCAUCAUUCAGCAGAAGACAGGCUGGGCUGGCCCAACUUGGUCCUGUACCCCCACCACCCCAGAACCCCACUGGUCCAUAGUGAGGAUCCCUUCUCUUUGACUCUCCUCCUUCUCUGUGACUCGCCUAAGCCUGAUCCUACACCUUCUCUCCCAGCCACUGCCUCAGCUUCCUCCACCCCCAGCUUGGGACGAGCCACCUCCCUGGCUGGGUAGCAUGGGACAAGCCAUCUCCCUGCAGAGGCAGAGAACCAGUGACACUACACGCAAACCAAGGCCAUGCUGCAAACAGAACACCAAGGCACCCUCGUCUUAGGAUGCAUUAUAUUCGGGGUAGAUGUUGAAUUCUAGUAACACAUUCCCUGGGGUGUUUUCAAAUCCAGACACACUGGAGCCUUGUUCCAGCCUCACUGUGGGCGAAGGCCCCGGGCUCACCUCCAGCCUCAGGCUGGCUCUGGCUGCUGCCCCUGUUCCAUCCUGGCAAGCGGAACUGAACAGGCCCGACUCCACAGCCCCCGGUGCUGCCAGCUGCAAGCUCUGCUGACUCCAACCUCAGGCCCCUGCGUGCCUGCUUCUAAAUCCACACGUUCCUGCUCCUUCCUGCCCCUGCUGCCCUCUCAGAAUGCCACUUCUUUCUGCCAAGACCUCAGGCAUUGCUAUGGCCCAGCCCCAUCUUUAUUGAUGUCGGGGCUCUGUCCCCUUGCAGAGCCCAUCCCAUUGCCACCCACAUCUGGGACAGCAAAAGACUUCUCAGUUUCCUCCAGAGUUCAGUUUCUUCCAAAAAGCUCGGCACAUCUUAGCUGCCAGUGUGAACUGUGAGCUCCCAGAGAUGCCCGUGGCACUUUCCAACAUUCGUCACUUUUGACACAUCUAAAAUAUCCUAGCUCCCAGAGCUGCGUGAGCACCAGCCCAGAUGGACCGGCUGCUGGGGAAGCAUCAGUCUCUCCAGGGCCUCUGUGAAGCCCUGGGGCAGUAGGGGGAUGUCUGACAAAGCUUCCUAACUGAGGAGCCCCACUUCCUCUCGCUCUGGGCACCCCUGCCAAAUGAGCGGGCACCUCUAUGUUCCAGCAGCCCUCGCUGCCCAGCUUCUGAGCUGCAAGCCAGCUUCCUUCCACAGAAUUCUCUGCACCUUGGCUUCCGGUGGCUCCAAGCACUUUGCCAUCUGCCGAGUCAGUUCUGCCAGAGAUGAAGCAGCUGAUGUGGGGAGUUCUCUGUGGGGGCCACCUUUCCUCUCUCAGGUCACCUUUACUCUCAGAAGGAAACUGACCCCCUGACCUAUUAAAUAGCUGAAAUCAA